UUGUCUUUUAAAUAAAGACUAGUAUGAACGGCUAAAUGAGGACAGAUCUGUCUCUUACAAUUGACCAGUGAAACUGAUCUUCAAGUCCAAAAGCUUGAAUGAAUACAUAAGACGAGAAGACCCUGUGGAGCUUCAAACCCAUACUAUAAUUAACCAAAUAGCACCGGUUUUAAGUUGGGGCGACUUCGGAAUACAACCUAACUUCCGAGCACGGGGCCAUCACACCCUCACCAAGACCGACAGGUCAAAGAAAAAUCCGACCCAGUCACACUGACCAACGAACCAAGUUACCCCAGGGAUAACAGCGCUAUCUUCUUCAAGAGUCCCUAUCGACAAGAAGGUUUACGACCUCGAUGUUGGAUCAGGACACCCAAAUGGUGCAGCAACUAUUAAAGGUUCGUUUGUUCAACGAUU
Molecule: ribosomal RNA, 414 nt
Filed under: Cryptoblepharus boutonii degrijsi
Lineage: Eukaryota; Metazoa; Chordata; Lepidosauria; Squamata; Scincidae
Description: partial 16S ribosomal RNA
Rfam family: Bacterial large subunit ribosomal RNA
Source: RNAcentral